GAUGAACGCUGGCGGCGUGCCUAAUACAUGCAAGUCGAGCGAACAGACGAGGAGCUUGCUCCUCUGACGUUAGCGGCGGACGGGUGAGUAACACGUGGAUAACCUACCUAUAAGACUGGGAUAACUUCGGGAAACCGGAGCUAAUACCGGAUAAUAUUUUGAACCGCAUGGUUCAAUAGUGAAAGACGGUUUUGCUGUCACUUAUAGAUGGAUCCGCGCCGCAUUAGCUAGUUGGUAAGGUAACGGCUUACCAAGGCAACGAUGCGUAGCCGACCUGAGAGGGUGAUCGGCCACACUGGAACUGAGACACGGUCCAGACUCCUACGGGAGGCAGCAGUAGGGAAUCUUCCGCAAUGGGCGAAAGCCUGACGGAGCAACGCCGCGUGAGUGAUGAAGGUCUUCGGAUCGUAAAACUCUGUUAUUAGGGAAGAACAUAUGUGUAAGUAACUGUGCACAUCUUGACGGUACCUAAUCAGAAAGCCACGGCUAACUACGUG
RNAcentral lists this ribosomal RNA (497 nucleotides) under uncultured bacterium. Its description in RNAcentral is "partial 16S ribosomal RNA". It matches the Rfam family "Bacterial small subunit ribosomal RNA", at positions 28 to 507 of the family's 1533-position model. The record is from RNAcentral.